RNAcentral lists this ribosomal RNA (524 nucleotides) under uncultured bacterium. Its description in RNAcentral is "partial 16S ribosomal RNA". It matches the Rfam family "Bacterial small subunit ribosomal RNA", at positions 28 to 523 of the family's 1533-position model. The record is from RNAcentral.
GACGAACGCUGGCGGCGUGCCUAAUACAUGCAAGUCGAACGAAGCUGUUUUAACUGGUGCUUGCACCGACUUAAACAACUGAGUGGCGAACGGGUGAGUAACACGUGGGUAACCUGCCCCAAAGCGGGGGAUAACAUUUGGAAACAGAUGCUAAUACCGCAUAACCGCAGAAACCACAUGGUUUCUGUGUCAAAGAUGGUUUCGGCUAUCACUUUGGGAUGGACCCGCGGCGUAUUAGCUAGUUGGUAAGGUAAUGGCUUACCAAGGCAAUGAUACGUAGCCGAAGUGAGCGGUUGAUCGGCCACAUUGGGACGGAGACACGGCCCAAACUACUACGGGAGGCAGCAGUAGGGAAUCUUCCACAAUGGACGAAAGUCUGAUGGAGCAACGCCGCGUGAGUGAAGAAGGUUUUCGGAUCGUAAAACUCUGUUGUCAGAGAAGAACGUGUGCGAGAGUAACUGUUCGUGCAGUGACGGUAUCUGGCCAGAAAGCCACGGCUAACUACGUGCCAGCAGCCGCCGUAA